GACAGUGUUCUCUACCCAUUCAUUGAUCCUUUCAGCAAAUACAUGUGGCCUUAGCGUCCUGAAUUCUGACACUGGCCUAUGCAGUUCCCUAGAGUGGGUGCUGUGAAUAGAAGCAUCAGAGCCAUCAGAGGUUUCUGAUUUCUUGGCCUCACCUUCAGAACAGCUGAACAUCAGCUCUAGGAAGUGGGACCAAGCAACGUGUAUCUAUCUUCCCUGGCUUCCUGGGUGAUGCUUAUUCCCCGAGAUUGGCGACUCUGCCCCAGUGGAACAAGCAUGAGCAGGGCACAAGCACUCCUUGUCUCUGAGGAACUUCAAUUGCAUACUUCUUGCAACUUUGUGAUGAAAAAGCAGAGAUUUCUGGAUGCCCUCAAGGACUGGCUGAAAGGGAUUUCCAUGAUCAUGUGAUUCAAUACCAUUGCUUUGCAAAGGAGGAAGAGGAACUAAAGCUCAAAGAAGCAUCUCUGUUUAACCUAAGAAACAAUCCAGCAUUCCUUAAUCCAGUCACCUCCAAAAGCACAUGAAAAAAGUGAGGACAAUAAAGAUAUGCUGUUUGACAUCUUGCAGAAAACCAGCUGGUAAAGAAAAAAUGUGUAGAGCCCCAGCUCAGUCAUCACAGCACAGCUCAGCAGGGAAAUUGGAACAAAAUAGAAUAUGUACUUUUAAACUUCACAUAAAGAAAAAU
Molecule: long non-coding RNA, 682 nt
Filed under: Heterocephalus glaber (naked mole-rat)
Lineage: Eukaryota; Metazoa; Chordata; Mammalia; Rodentia; Bathyergidae
Description: lncRNA (ENSHGLG00000028830.2)
Source: RNAcentral